Molecule: ribosomal RNA, 1252 nt
Filed under: metagenome
Description: bacterial SSU rRNA
Rfam family: Bacterial small subunit ribosomal RNA
Source: RNAcentral
AGCUAGUUGGUGAGGUAACGGCCCACCAAGGCGACGAUCGGUAGCCGGACUGAGAGGUUGAACGGCCACAUUGGGACUGAGACACGGCCCAGACUCCUACGGGAGGCAGCAGUGGGGAAUAUUGCACAAUGGGGGAAACCCUGAUGCAGCGACGCCGCGUGGAGGAAGAAGGUCUUCGGAUUGUAAACUCCUGUUGUUGAGGAAGAUAAUGACGGUACUCAACAAGGAAGUGACGGCUAACUACGUGCCAGCAGCCGCGGUAAAACGUAGGUCACAAGCGUUGUCCGGAAUUACUGGGUGUAAAGGGAGCGCAGGCGGGAAGACAAGUUGGAAGUGAAAUCCAUGGGCUUAACCCAUGAACUGCUUUCAAAACUGUUUUUCUUGAGUAGUGCAGAGGUAGGCGGAAUUCCCGGUGUAGCGGUGGAAUGCGUAGAUAUCGGGAGGAACACCAGUGGCGAAGGCGGCCUACUGGGCACCAACUGACGCUGAGGCUCGAAAGUGUGGGUAGCAAACAGGAUUAGAUACCCUGGUAGUCCACACCGUAAACGAUGAUUACUAGGUGUUGGAGGAUUGACCCCUUCGGUGCCGCAGUUAACACAAUAAGUAAUCCACCUGGGGAGUACGACCGCAAGGUUGAAACUCAAAGGAAUUGACGGGGGCCCGCACAAGCAGUGGAGUAUGUGGUUUAAUUCGACGCAACGCGAAGAACCUUACCAAGUCUUGACAUCCUGUGACAGACGUAGAAAUACGUUCUUCCUUCGGGACACAGAGACAGGUGGUGCAUGGUUGUCGUCAGCUCGUGUCGUGAGAUGUUGGGUUAAGUCCCGCAACGAGCGCAACCCUUAUGGUCAGUUACUACGCAAGAGGACUCUGGCCAGACUGCCGUUGACAAAACGGAGGAAGGUGGGGAUGACGUCAAAUCAUCAUGCCCUUUAUGACUUGGGCUACACACGUACUACAAUGGCGUUAAACAAAGAGAAGCAAGACCGCGAGGUGGAGCAAAACUCAGAAACAACGUCCCAGUUCGGACUGCAGGCUGCAACUCGCCUGCACGAAGUCGGAAUUGCUAGUAAUCGUGGAUCAGCAUGCCACGGUGAAUACGUUCCCGGGCCUUGUACACACCGCCCGUCACACCAUGAGAGCCGGGGGGACCCGAAGUCGGUAGUCUAACCGCAAGGAGGACGCCGCCGAAGGUAAAACUGGUGAUUGGGGUGAAGUCGAAACAAGGUAGCCGUAGGAGAACCUGCGGCUG